GGAUUAAUUUACUGGUCGUGCUAUUGUACGUACUGGUUUUAUUGAUUCCUCCCUUCUGACGAACUAUGAUGUCAUUAAUUUGGUGUCAUAGGAAAUCAGGACUGUUACUUUGAAAAAAUUAGAGUGUUUAAAACAGGCGUUUGCUUGAAUACAUUAGCAUGGAAUAACGGAAUAGGACUU
Molecule: ribosomal RNA, 180 nt
Filed under: uncultured Glomeromycotina
Lineage: Eukaryota; Fungi; Glomeromycota
Description: partial small subunit ribosomal RNA
Rfam family: Eukaryotic small subunit ribosomal RNA
Source: RNAcentral